Long non-coding RNA from Patella vulgata (common limpet), 924 nucleotides. RefSeq lists it as uncharacterized. Lineage: Eukaryota; Metazoa; Mollusca; Gastropoda; Patellidae. The transcript has 5 exons. The record is from RefSeq and is a predicted model, not a curated record.
GCUAAUAUUUCUAUUGCAAGGGGAAAUGAAAUGGAGUUGAUAAUCCUAGGCUUAUGAAGAAACACGAUCAUCACGUGUGUAAUGGGGGAAAUUUUAUCCAGACGGUGUUUUUUCCGCUUAUCUUCUUGCCAAUGGUUAGGUACGCGCCAAUGUGUACACGAGUCUUCGGUUGCUCGCCCAUCCUAACGACAAGAUGCUGUGCAGCUGAAAAGAGAAGAAGGAAAAGUAAACGCAGAAGACAGUGCAAGUGUACCGUAAGACAGAUAACAUUUUACUUGCCAAUGACAUAAUUAUACCGUUAACUGCGAUGACGGGAAUUUGGGUCCAUUCGAUUUUAAGAGAAAGCCACGAGUGAACGGAGAGAAAGCACAAGAGCGAUACGAUAAAAGUCAACAAAGAUCAAACCCCAAUCGCAAAAAAGAACCAAGGAAAAAUAAACGGGGUAAAACAGAGAGAGUAAAAGGGACAUCUGACGAUAUGCCGAAAGGAACGACACAACAAUUGGAAGGAAAAAGUUAUGUUCAUGUACCACUUGAAGUUUACAAAAAGAUGAUAGAAUCUGAGAUUGACAGUAAAUUGAAACAGAUACAAGAUUACUAUGAUCUACAGUAUAGACGACAAGAAGAAUUACAGCUGGAAUCUAUGAGAGAAUCUAUUUACUGGAAAGAUUGUGUUAAUCGAUUAGAAAUGAACUUGUCUAUAUCUUAUUCUGAGUUUGACAAACUCUCUCGUGCUUAUGAAAAUAUAAAACAGAGGAUAAACAGAACUGAAUUAAAAGAAAAGAAAAACACAACACCCCAUAAAGGUAGACGAUCUAACGACAAGAAGCAAGUAAAACAGAUUGUACGUGAUAUGUCAGGUGGUGAUAAUAACAAUCUGGAUACAACUCUAUAGGCCUAAUACAGACCUAUACUUUUAAAUAAA